RNAcentral lists this unclassified non-coding RNA (232 nucleotides) under plant metagenome. RNAcentral's name for it is "partial contains small subunit ribosomal RNA, internal transcribed spacer 1, and 5.8S ribosomal RNA". The record is from RNAcentral.
UUUCCGUAGGUGAACCUGCGGAAGGAUCAUUACUGAGUGAGGGCCCUCUGGUCCAACCUCCCACCCGUGUUUAUUAUACCUUGUUGCUUCGGUGAGCCCGCCUCACGGCCGCCGGGGGGCAUCUGCCCCCGGGCCCGCGCCCACCGAAGACACCUAGAACUCUGUAUGAAGAUUGCAGUCUGAGCAAAAACUAAAUAAGUUAAAACUUUCAACAACGGAUCUCUUGGUUCCG